UGCACGAAAGCGUGGGUAGCAAACAGGAUUAGAUACCCUGGUAGUCCACGCCCUAAACGAUGCGAACUAGGUGUUGGAGAAGGAGACUUCUUUAGUACCGCAGCUAACGCGUGAAGUUCGCCGCCUGGGGAGUACGGUCGCAAGAUUAAAACUCAAAGGAAUUGACGGGGACCCGCACAAGCGGUGGAUGAUGUGGAUUAAUUCGAUGCAACGCGAAAAACCUUACCUACCCUUGACAUGCCUGGAAUCCUGCUGAGAGGCGGGAGUGCCCGAAAGGGAACUGGGACACAGGUGCUGCAUGGCUGUCGUCAGCUCGUGUCGUGAGAUGUUGGGUUAAGUCCCGCAACGAGCGCAACCCUUGUCGUUAAUUGCCAUCAUUCAGUUGGGCACUUUAGCGAGACUGCCGGUGACAAACCGGAGGAAGGUGGGGAUGACGUCAAGUCCUCAUGGCCCUUAUGGGUAGGGCUUCACACGUCAUACAAUGGUCGGUACAGAGGGCUGCCAACCCGCGAGGGGGAGCCAAUCCCAGAAAGCCGAUCGUAGUCCGGAUUGGAGUCUGCAACUCGACUCCAUGAAGUCGGAAUCGCUAGUAAUCGUGGAUCAGCAUGUCACGGUGAAUACGUUCCCGGGUCUUGUACACACCGCCCGUCACACCAUGGGAGUGGGUUUCANNNNNAGUAGGUAGCCUAACCGCAAGGAGGGCGCUUACCACGGUGGGAUUCAUGACUGGGGUGAAGUCGUAACAAGGUAAGCA
RNAcentral lists this ribosomal RNA (754 nucleotides) under uncultured Rhodocyclaceae bacterium. RNAcentral's name for it is "bacterial SSU rRNA". It matches the Rfam family "Bacterial small subunit ribosomal RNA", at positions 750 to 1502 of the family's 1533-position model. Lineage: Bacteria; Pseudomonadati; Pseudomonadota; Betaproteobacteria; Rhodocyclales; Rhodocyclaceae. The record is from RNAcentral.